Molecule: ribosomal RNA, 1412 nt
Filed under: Staphylococcus aureus
Lineage: Bacteria; Bacillati; Bacillota; Bacilli; Caryophanales; Staphylococcaceae
Description: partial 23S ribosomal RNA
Rfam family: Bacterial large subunit ribosomal RNA
Source: RNAcentral
ACUAGAAGCCGAUGAAGGACGUUACUAACGACGAUAUGCUUUGGGGAGCUGUAAGUAAGCUUUGAUCCAGAGAUUUCCGAAUGGGGAAACCCAGCAUGAGUUAUGUCAUGUUAUCGAUAUGUGAAUACAUAGCAUAUCAGAAGGCACACCCGGAGAACUGAAACAUCUUAGUACCCGGAGGAAGAGAAAGAAAAUUCGAUUCCCUUAGUAGCGGCGAGCGAAACGGGAAGAGCCCAAACCAACAAGCUUGCUUGUUGGGGUUGUAGGACACUCUAUACGGAGUUACAAAGGACGACAUUAGACGAAUCAUCUGGAAAGAUGAAUCAAAGAAGGUAAUAAUCCUGUAGUCGAAAAUGUUGUCUCUCUUGAGUGGAUCCUGAGUACGACGGAGCACGUGAAAUUCCGUCGGAAUCUGGGAGGACCAUCUCCUAAGGCUAAAUACUCUCUAGUGACCGAUAGUGAACCAGUACCGUGAGGGAAAGGUGAAAAGCACCCCGGAAGGGGAGUGAAAUAGAACCUGAAACCGUGUGCUUACAAGUAGUCAGAGCCCGUUAAUGGGUGAUGGCGUGCCUUUUGUAGAAUGAACCGGCGAGUUACGAUUUGAUGCAAGGUUAAGCAGUAAAUGUGGAGCCGUAGCGAAAGCGAGUCUGAAUAGGGCGUUUAGUAUUUGGUCGUAGACCCGAAACCAGGUGAUCUACCCUUGGUCAGGUUGAAGUUCAGGUAACACUGAAUGGAGGACCGAACCGACUUACGUUGAAAAGUGAGCGGAUGAACUGAGGGUAGCGGAGAAAUUCCAAUCGAACCUGGAGAUAGCUGGUUCUCUCCGAAAUAGCUUUAGGGCUAGCCUCAAGUGAUGAUUAUUGGAGGUAGAGCACUGUUUGGACGAGGGGCCCCUCUCGGGUUACCGAAUUCAGACAAACUCCGAAUGCCAAUUAAUUUAACUUGGGAGUCAGAACAUGGGUGAUAAGGUCCGUGUUCGAAAGGGAAACAGCCCAGACCACCAGCUAAGGUCCCAAAAUAUAUGUUAAGUGGAAAAGGAUGUGGCGUUGCCCAGACAACUAGGAUGUUGGCUUAGAAGCAGCCAUCAUUUAAAGAGUGCGUAAUAGCUCACUAGUCGAGUGACACUGCGCCGAAAAUGUACCGGGGCUAAACAUAUUACCGAAGCUGUGGAUUGUCCUUUGGACAAUGGUAGGAGAGCGUUCUAAGGGCGUUGAAGCAUGAUCGUAAGGACAUGUGGAGCGCUUAGAAGUGAGAAUGCCGGUGUGAGUAGCGAAAGACGGGUGAGAAUCCCGUCCACCGAUUGACUAAGGUUUCCAGAGGAAGGCUCGUCCGCUCUGGGUUAGUCGGGUCCUAAGCUGAGGCCGACAGGCGUAGGCGAUGGAUAACAGGUUGAUAUUCCUGUACCACCUAUA